RNAcentral lists this ribosomal RNA (494 nucleotides) under uncultured bacterium. Its description in RNAcentral is "partial 16S ribosomal RNA". It matches the Rfam family "Bacterial small subunit ribosomal RNA", at positions 28 to 507 of the family's 1533-position model. The record is from RNAcentral.
GACGAACGCUGGCGGCGUGCUUAACACAUGCAAGUCGAACGGUGAAGCGCCUUCCUUUUUGGUGGGUGUGGAUGAGUGGCGAACGGGUGAGUAACACGUGAGAAACCUGCCCCCUUCUUCUGGAUAACCGCAUGAAAGUGUGGCUAAUACGGGAUAUUCUGGGUCUGUCGCAUGAUGGGUCUGGGAAAGAUAUUGUUUCGGUGGGGGAUGGGCUCGCGGCCUAUCAGCUUGUUGGUGGGGUGAUGGCCUACCAAGGCGGUGACGGGUAGCCGGCCUGAGAGGGUGGACGGUCACACUGGGACUGAGACACGGCCCAGACUCCUACGGGAGGCAGCAGUGGGGAAUAUUGCACAAUGGGCGCAAGCCUGAUGCAGCGACGCCGCGUGAGGGAUGGAGGCCUUCGGGUUGUGAACCUCUUUCGCCAGUGAAGCAGGCCUGCCUCGUUUGUGGGUGGGUUGACGGUAGCUGGAUAAGAAGCGCCGGCUAACUACGUG